RNAcentral lists this ribosomal RNA (253 nucleotides) under uncultured bacterium. RNAcentral's name for it is "partial 16S ribosomal RNA". It matches the Rfam family "Bacterial small subunit ribosomal RNA", at positions 524 to 776 of the family's 1533-position model. The record is from RNAcentral.
UACGGAGGGAGCUAGCGUUGUUCGGAACUACUGGGCGUAAAGCGCACGUAGGCGGCGCAGCAAGUCAGGGGUGAAAUCCCGGGGCUCAACCCCGGAACUGCCUCUGAAACUGCAGUGCUAGAAUCUUGGAGAGGCGAGUGGAAUUCCGAGUGUAGAGGUGAAAUUCGUAGAUAUUCGGAAGAACACCAGUGGCGAAGGCGACUCGCUGGACAAGUAUUGACGCUGAGGUGCGAAAGCGUGGGGAGCAAACAGG